AACUCAAAGGAAUUGACGGGGGCCCGCACAAGCGGAGGAGCAUGUGGUUUAAUUCGAUGAUACGCGAGGAACCUUACCUGGGCUUUAAAUGCUUAAUGACGUACUGGGAAACUGGUAUUUCUUCGGACAUUUUGCAAGGUGCUGCAUGGUUGUCGUCAGCUCGUGCCGUGAGGUGUCGGGUUAAGUCCCAUAACGAGCGCAACCCCUAUUGUUAGUUGCCAUCAGGUCAUGCUGGGGACUCUAACAAAACUGCCCGCGUAAGCGUGGAGGAAGGUGGGGAUGACGUCAAAUCAGCACGGCCCUUACGUCCAGGGCUACACACGUGCUACAAUGGCCGGUACAGAGGGCAGCCACUUGGUGACAAGGAGCAAAUCUCAAAAGCCGGUCUCAGUUCGGAUCGGAGUCUGCAACUCGACUCCGUGAAGUUGGAUUCGCUAGUAAUCGUAGAUCAGCAAUGCUACGGUGAAUACGUUCCCGGGCCUU
RNAcentral lists this ribosomal RNA (483 nucleotides) under uncultured Bacteroidota bacterium. RNAcentral's name for it is "bacterial SSU rRNA". It matches the Rfam family "Bacterial small subunit ribosomal RNA", at positions 898 to 1382 of the family's 1533-position model. Lineage: Bacteria; Pseudomonadati; Bacteroidota. The record is from RNAcentral.